GAUCAGUAACCAGACAACCCCAGGCCCAGGCCCAGCCGUACCUCCACUUCCAACCCCACGGCAGCUCCAUGGCGAGGGACGAACCCUCCGCCGCCGCCGUGGACGUCGCCGACGGCGACUCACCCUCCUCCAGCCCAACCCUCACGCGCCUACGGGAAGCACUCGCCGCCCUCUCCAAGGCGUUCGAGUCCGGCGACACCGCCUCCUCCGACGCAGCCGCUGCCCUGGUCGCCGAGAUUCUCAGCCCGUCUGAUGCUGACGCGUCCGCCGCGCUCUCCGAACAGAUGCUCCGCGAGGUCCACGCGUUCCUCUCGCGCCCGUCCUCGAAUCAGAUGGCCAUAGACGCGCUGUCUCUGGAGCUUCCCAAGCCUGUGGCGAAGCUGGGUGCUCGGAUGGGGAAUUGCCGGGACAUUGCCAGGACUAUCAUUGAGUUCUUUGUGUCAAAUUGCAGCCCAAGGGACAUGCUCUGCAUCCUCUGCGAGGCAUUAGAUACACCAGUGGCAUUAAAUGGAUCAGCAUACCUUGUUAUUCUACUAGAUGGGCUUGCCAGCACGCUUAUUUUGAUUCAGAGGAGACACAUUGAGCAAGUAAAGGUCGUACUUCCUGCCAUCCUUCGAGUUAUGCACGCUAAUUUAUCAGAAUGUGAUGGGGAACAUGGAAUGUCUGCUGUUGAUCUGUUCAGUGCAGCCCUCAGAAUAGGCAAUGCUAUACAAGAAAUGUGCAAAACAAUGGUCAACCACAGGAAGGAAGAGCUAUGUUCUAUACUUGGUCUAUACGCCCUUCAAAACAUAGCUCUUUUGCAGGCUCUUGUAUCAUCAGAAAGCAAACAUCAGAAUAUUCAGUCUACUUGUGGUUCAGUUGUUCUUCAAUAUUCUAAACUUCUUAUGUUUUGCGGGUUCACCUAUUUGGGUCUUUUAACUGGUAAUGAUGUGACCUCAGCCACCACUAAGCUUUCUAAAGAAGAGGACGACAAUUUUCUGGACUGCUUUUCUUUUGCUAUGGACGGUGCAAGUCUUGUAGUUGUGUGGACCUCUAUGCAUGAUGAUAUGUCAAAAUAUGCUGGAGCAGAGUUUGAAUCAGCACUGAAAGAAGUUCAAGACAAUUGUAUUAGGAAAUGGGAAGCAAUCAACAUGUUUAGAUAUGUCUUAUCUUCAGUUAAUUACUCAUGGGCAAUCAAAUCUCACAGUCUGGACUUAUUGUUAACUUUAGUUGAUGAUAAGUGUAGUGAGGAAACCAACGAUCAUGUAGAUUUCCCAUGUUCCACUCAAAUUUUUGCCAUACUCAAGGCCAUUGAAAGAGUCAUGAUAGCUGCCCCAGAUACGUUGAUGCGGAAGAAAGCCUUUUCUGCCCUGAAAAGGGUUAUUUCAGUGGUGCCAUCCACUCAGAGAUUUGAUAUCUUACAGGCCCUCAUCGAGAAUAGUAUGUUCCCCUCCUUGACUGCAAUUCUUUUAGAUCUGGUGAAGAAUGAAGUUUUGAGAGAGAGCCGUCGAGCUGAUCAGGUUAAUGGAUCUGAUCGAUCACAAGAUUCUGGGGAAUCACCACCCUGGGCUUCUCAGGUGCUUGAGUUAGUGGAGCUGAUCUUGAGGCCUCCAGAAGGUGGUCCUCCUUGUCUUCGUGAUCAUAGUGAAGAGGGCUGAAGCCGCACCGCCAACAACUUAGAGAAGCUAUGUACUAAGCUGAUCGCUCGGUAUCUCCUAUCUCCCUGGUGUCAGUUCUUGGAGAUCUGGGAGAUGAGAGCUAGAUUUAGUUCUCCUCACACUGGCUACUAUGUGUAGAAGUUUGGUGUUCACAUUUCCUUCCUGUAGCCACUGCAAUCUAGAACACUGUCGGGCAAUCGUGCGUUCCAGCGAAGACAAGCUGAGAAUGAAAGCUUCAAGGAUCUUCUCAACCAUAUUUCCGUCGGGGACUGAAGCCUUGAGUCCUAAGCAGCAUCUAAACGCAUAAUCACUGCAUCGGCAAUCGCUUGCCGCAUUCCUGAAAAGAAUGAUCCAGAAUGCUUUAAGGGGUCAGCGAUCGCUGGACUGCACUUCCACGCCUCCUUGAUAGCCUCCUUAAAUCCUUCCAGCUUGGCCCAGAAUUCACAUCGCUCCUAGGGGAAAAGCCACAUUUAUUAGAGGGAGAUGAAAAGGAAAAUGAUCGGAGAUAGCAGUUGAUAGCACCUGUAGUAGGCAGUCAGGAUAAAACAGUUCCCAGUCCACUGUCUAUGAUGAUAUUUUGAGCAUCAACGUCAUUUCUCCAAGCAUGUGUUUUCUAAGUGCUGGUGUUAUCUGCUCUGAACUUGCUCAGAUUGAUUCUGAUAAUAGAUUCAAGAGGAUCCAGAUCAGCAAAAAUGUUGCGGGACGAAAAAAUACGAGCCGUGUACUCAGAGUGGCUGCUCCCACUAAGAUCAGUUGUUACAGGGAAUCAAUCGGAACUCGAGAAAGACGGCGGUGACGACGACGAAAAUCA
Molecule: RNA transcript, 2448 nt
Organism: Triticum aestivum (bread wheat)
Lineage: Eukaryota; Viridiplantae; Streptophyta; Magnoliopsida; Poales; Poaceae
Gene name: aberrant root formation protein 4
Exons: 15
Source: RefSeq, a predicted model, not a curated record